RNAcentral lists this unclassified non-coding RNA (282 nucleotides) under uncultured Cortinariaceae. RNAcentral describes it as "sequence contains ITS2". The stretch from base 1 to 52 matches the Rfam family "5.8S ribosomal RNA", at positions 103 to 154 of the family's 154-position model. Lineage: Eukaryota; Fungi; Basidiomycota; Agaricomycetes; Agaricales; Cortinariaceae. The record is from RNAcentral.
AACGCACCUUGCGCUCCUUGGUAUUCCGAGGAGCAUGCCUGUUUGAGUGUCAUUAAUAUAUAUAUCAGCCCUCUCUUGUUGAGUGGUUUGGAUGUGGGAGUUUGCUGGCCUCUUAAAGGAGGUUCAGCUCUCCUGAAAUGCAUUAGCAGAACAACCUGUUCAUUGGUGUGAUAACUAUCUACGCUAUUGAAUGUGAAGGGAAGUUCAGCUUUCUAACAGUCUUUGGACAAUUUACAUCAUUAAUGUGACCUCAAAUCAGGUAGGACUACCCGCUGAACUUAA